UUCUGGCUCAGGAUGAACGCUAGCUACAGGCCUAACACAUGCAAGUCGAGGGGUAGCGUGAGGGAAGCUGCUCCCUGACGACGACCGGCGAAUGGGUGAGUCACGCGUGUCCAACCUGCCCCGUGCCCGGGGAUAGCCCUUGGAAAUGAGGAUUAAGACCCGAUAUGUGGCGCUUCCGCAUGGCGGCGCCAUGAAGCAGGCACGGGAUGGGGACGCGUCGGAUUAGCUUGACGGCGGGGCAACGGCCCACCGUGGCGACGAUCCGCAGGGGUUCUGAGAGGAAGGUCCCCCACACUGGCACUGAGACACGGGCCAGACUCCUACGGGAGGCAGCAGUGAGGAAUAUUGGUCAAUGGGCGGGAGCCUGAACCAGCCCAAGUAGCGUGCAGGACGACGGCCCUACGGGUUGUAAACUGCUUUUCCGGGAGGAUAAAGUGAGCCACGCGUGGUUCAUUGCAGGUAUCCCGGGAAUAAGGACCGGCUAAUUCCGUGCCAGCCGCCGC
This 503-nucleotide ribosomal RNA is filed under the name uncultured bacterium. RNAcentral describes it as "bacterial SSU rRNA". It matches the Rfam family "Bacterial small subunit ribosomal RNA", at positions 17 to 518 of the family's 1533-position model. The record is from RNAcentral.